This 468-nucleotide ribosomal RNA is filed under the name uncultured bacterium. RNAcentral describes it as "partial 16S ribosomal RNA". It matches the Rfam family "Bacterial small subunit ribosomal RNA", at positions 28 to 507 of the family's 1533-position model. The record is from RNAcentral.
GACGAACGCUGGCGGCGUGCUUAACACAUGCAAGUCGAACGGAAAGGCCCUGCUUUUGUGGGGUGCUCGAGUGGCGAACGGGUGAGUAACACGUGAGUAACCUGCCCUUGACUUUGGGAUAACUUCAGGAAACUGGGGCUAAUAUCGGAUAGGAGCUCCUGCUGCAUGGUGGGGGUUGGAAAGUUUCGGCGGUUGGGGAUGGACUCGCGGCUUAUCAGCUUGUUGGUGGGGUAGUGGCUGACCAAGGCUUUGACGGGUAGCCGGCCUGAGAGGGUGACCGGCGACAUUGGGACUAAGAUACGGCCCAGACUGCUACGGGAGGCAGCAGUGGGGAAUAUUACACAAUGGGCGGAAGCCUGAUGCAGCAACGCCGCGUGCGGGAUGACGGCCUUCGGGUUGUAAACCGCUUUCGCCUGUGACGAAGCGUGAGUGACGGUAAUGGGUAAAGAAGCACCGGCUAACUACGUG